RNAcentral lists this unclassified non-coding RNA (337 nucleotides) under soil metagenome. Its description in RNAcentral is "partial contains 5.8S ribosomal RNA, internal transcribed spacer 2, and large subunit ribosomal RNA". The stretch from base 1 to 120 matches the Rfam family "5.8S ribosomal RNA", at positions 35 to 154 of the family's 154-position model. The record is from RNAcentral.
GAUGAAGAACGUAGCGAAAUGCGAUAAGUAGUGUGAAUUGCAGAAUUCAGUGAAUCAUCGAAUCUUUGAACGCACAUUGCGCCCCCUGGUAUUCCGUGGGGCAUGCCUGUUCGAGCGUCAUUUACCCCCUCAAGCUCCGCUUGGUGUUGGGCGUCUGUCCCGCUUCGCGCGCGGACUCGCCCCAAAGGUAUUGGCAGCGGUCGUGCCAGCUUCUCGCGCAGCACAUUGCGCUUCUCGAGGCACCGGUGGGCCCGCGUCCAUCAAGCUCACCCCCCCAGUUUGACCUCGGAUCAGGUAGGGAUACCCGCUGAACUUAAGCAUAUCAAUAAGCGGAGGA